CAACAGCUGUCUUUGCAAAUCCUGUCACUCAGGAUUGGAAUGGUUCUACAUAAUCAAGAAUGGAGUGGUGAGGCUGAGAUUGUUGGCUGGCUCGAGGUAGCAGAUACAGAAAUGCUGACCAUCGCAAUGCACAGGAAUGCCCUAGGAUGGCGGCCAAAGCCUUCCGUCUCCCACCCAGCCCAUUUUCCUAACAAAUGUGCGCAUUUAACAUUGUUUUUCAUCCCCAAGAAUGGGGUAUCAAUAGAAUCUACAAGACCAAGACUUAAAUGAAAUGAAUCAACAGUAACACAAACAGUAGCAAUUUUCAAUUAGAAAUUUAAGGAAAGCUUCAUAAAAUGUUCAUAGAAUUCUGUCUCAAUUCACCUAGCCCAUUUCAACUGUAGCGUAGACGUCUGUUGUUAACAGC
RNAcentral lists this long non-coding RNA (406 nucleotides) under Homo sapiens (human). RNAcentral describes it as "HSALNT0193075". Lineage: Eukaryota; Metazoa; Chordata; Mammalia; Primates; Hominidae. The record is from RNAcentral.